Molecule: ribosomal RNA, 253 nt
Filed under: uncultured bacterium
Lineage: Bacteria
Description: partial 16S ribosomal RNA
Rfam family: Bacterial small subunit ribosomal RNA
Source: RNAcentral
UACGGGGGGGGCAAGCGUUGUUCGGAAUUACUGGGCGUAAAGGGCUCGUAGGCGGCUAACUAAGUCGGACGUGAAAUCCCCAGGCUCAACCUGGGAACUGCGUCCGAUACUGGAUGGCUUGAAUCCGGGAGAGGGAUGCAGAAUUCCAGGUGUAGCGGUGAAAUGCGUAGAUAUCUGGAGGAACACCGGUGGCGAAGGCGGCAUCCUGGGCCAACACUGACGCUGAGGAGCGAAAGCUAGGGGAGCAAACAGG